UUUGAAAUCCGGUGCUCUUUGGGCGCCCGAGUUGUAAUCUGCAGAUGGGUUUUCCGGUGAGGCGCGCGUCCAAGUUCCCUGGAAUGGGACGCCGUAGAGGGUGAGAGCCCCGUACUGGCGCCGCGCCGAGCCUCUGUGAGGCCCAUUCGACGAGUCGAGUAGUUUGGGAAUGCUGCUCUAAUUGCGAGGUAAAUCUCUCGUAAGGCUAAAUACCGGCCAGAGACCGAUAGCGCACAAGUAGCGUGAGCGAAAGAUGAAAAGAGCCUUGGAUAAGGGCGUCAAAAAGCAUGUGAAAUCGUUAUGGGGGAAGCGCUCGUCGCCAGACGUGGCGGCGGCUGGUUAGCCGGCGUUCUCGCCGGCGCACUCGGACCGCCGCCAGGCCAGCAACAGCUCGGGCUGGGGCCCACUGCCGGAGGGAACGUAGCUCCCCUUGUGGGAGUGUUAUAGCCCUUCGGCGACGCCCUGGACCGGGCUGAGGACCGCGCCUUGCGCACGGAUGCUGGCGUAAUGGCGCCUAGCGACCCGUCUUGAAACACGGACCAAGGAGUUGACCUAGCGCGCGAGUGUACGGGUGUAAAGCCCUUGCGCGUAGUGAAAGCAAACGCUGGUGGGAGCCUUCGGGCGCACCAUCGACCGAUCCUGAUGCUCCGCGGAUGGAUUUGAGUAGGAGCGCGCUGGGUCUGACCCGAAAGAAAGUGAACUAUGCAUGGGUAGGGUGAAGCCAGAGGAAACUCUGGUGGAGGCUCGCAGCGGUUCUGACGUGCAAAUCGAUCGUCAAACCUGUGCAUGGGGGCGAAAGACCAAUCGAACCUUCUAGUAGCUGGUUCCUGCCGAAGUUUCUCUCAGGAUAGCAGAGUUGGGGCCUCAGUUUCAUGAGGUAAAGCGAAUGAUUAGAGACCCGGGGGCGCUAUUUAGCCUUCAUCUAUUCUCAAACUUUAAAUAUGUGAGAAGCCUCGUGUUACUUUUUUGAACGCAGGCGGCCGAAUGAACCAACUCUAGUGGGCCAUUUUUGGUAAGCAGAACUGGCGAUGUGGGAUGAACCAUACGGGGGCUUAAGGCGCCGGAGUGGACGCUCAUCAGACACCACAAAAGGUGUUAGCACC
Molecule: ribosomal RNA, 1103 nt
Filed under: Canalisporium exiguum
Lineage: Eukaryota; Fungi; Ascomycota; Sordariomycetes
Description: eukaryotic LSU rRNA
Rfam family: Eukaryotic large subunit ribosomal RNA
Source: RNAcentral